This 1485-nucleotide long non-coding RNA is filed under the name Olea europaea subsp. europaea. Lineage: Eukaryota; Viridiplantae; Streptophyta; Magnoliopsida; Lamiales; Oleaceae. The record is from RNAcentral.
AGAAGCUAGACAAAGCUCAAGCUAUUGUAAGCUAUCAUCAUUCUAAUAAAAUUCCUUUCUCCUACCCACUUUGUCCACCAAAUUACUUUCUACCAAAAUCUUCCAAACUAUUAACUUUCAAUAAAAAGUCAACUAUUUUUUUCCUCCAAAAUUAUUCCAUACAAAACAUCCUCAAUCAUCCUAUCUCAUCACUACAACAACACAAAAACUAUCACAAAAAUCUGAUCAAAAGUCAAAAAUAAAUUAAAUUCUCCAAAUCAUGUAAGCCAUCGUCUAAAUGUUCCAUAAGUAUCAUCAAUAAUAUCUGUCCGAUCGACCGUCCCACCGUAUAUACUGUAUAUAAUUCGAGGAAGAAUACCUGCUCCUUCUCAUAGGCAGAUGGGGAAUUGUUAGAAGCCAUUGGAUCUCAGUGGAGUAACGCAGAGAGACAAUUGAUAACUCUUAUACAAACCCUAAACCUAGACAAUUUUCCGCAAUUUAGUUUCAAAAUCAAUAGCCUUGUCAACAUUUGGGUUUUAUUUUCCGCCCCUUUUUUCUGGAUAAAUUUGCUUUUCUUUCAAAUUAUUUGAUCAUAAUUUCUGUCAAAAUUGAUAGCUUUGCCACUCUUUUUCCCCCCAAUUCUUGAUUAAUUUAUGCGUUUGUGAUCGGUUUGGUGGUUGAAAAUUUGUCUGACUAUUCAAAAGAAAUGAGAUGAAUUAAGAUAUCACACUAUCGAUUUAAUCUCAUAAAUUGACAUAUCGUAAUAAGUAAUAAAGUGACAAGUGAGUAUCGUUCCUCAAACAUGAUUAUCGAUCAUGCUUUUAUCACAAUUAACUCUAACACGAGCACAAAAAAAUUAGUUCACAAUUUUAAAGAUUGAUUUCCUUAAUUACUAAUUAAAUCGAGUAAGUUGAUUGAGCAAAAAGAUUUGAUGAGUAAAAUUCAAUCAAGUAUUAGGACUACAAAUUCGUAAACAUGAUUUAAUUACCAAUUCUUGAAGUCAACUAAUUCUAUAUCUAUAUCUGAACUUUAAUUAUUCUCAAUUAAAUCGUGAAUAUAUAAGCAUGCAUUAAAAUACAAAAAUUAUUAGAUAGGGAAUUCUUCUCUUGUGAUCUAUUUCUAUUUUAUGCUUACAUGAUCGUUCUUCUUGCUGGAAAAAUCCAAGUCUUCCAUUUUAAGCCGGUGGGUUUUAAUUAAAAUUUCAAUUAUUGGUAUUAGUAAGGUGUCCUCGUCUAUGUUUAAAAAUGAUUUUCAUAAAAUAAUUCUCAUACAGGUAGGUGUUGUUUAGGCUUGGUUCUGUUUUUUGGUACUUUCAGCUUUGGUUAAGGUUUAUUUUGAUUUAAAAAAUUGAUUUUUAUUAAAUCCCACUUCGUGUUGAGACAAAAAACUAACUCAAGAGAGCUUUAUUUUGACCCUAACUUUUAGAUAACUAAUUGCUAAGCCACAACGAAAAUUUUAUAUAUAGAGUUGUGUGCCAUGAAAAUGAGUUCUAAAAAAUGCGAGUCA